This is a long non-coding RNA of Zeugodacus cucurbitae (melon fly), 1776 nucleotides long. RefSeq lists it as uncharacterized. The transcript is spliced from 2 exons. The record is from RefSeq and is a predicted model, not a curated record. Lineage: Eukaryota; Metazoa; Arthropoda; Insecta; Diptera; Tephritidae.
UUGUAUAUAGAUACUAAUUUAAUAAUAUUUUACAUUUAUAUUAAUAAAUUGAGUGCUAUUGCUUGCGUUCAAAAUUUAUAAAUUAUAAAUCACAAUAUUGAAAAUGAUAAAUUGCAAGUUCAGCCUAAUAAUGCCUCCAUAAUCAAAUCAGGAGCAAGAUGAACAACUUCGGCGCCUGAAUGUUGUUUUUAGAGAUCUGUUAAUUACACGACUCUACAAAAAAAAAAUUUCUUAGUCCUAAAGUUUAUUUUAUGAUUUUCUGAUUAAUUCUGAACAAAAACGACAAGAAAGUGCCAUCUUUUCGUAUAAAGUUUGCUUUUGUAAAAAUUAUAGUAAUAAUACUAUAUUUGGAGUUAAAUAAGAGAUAGUACCUAUGAACAUAAAAGAAAAAGUAAAAGUGUGCACUUUUAAAUUAUUUUUUACUUUUUUGUAAGUUAUUUUGAUAGUAAAACUUAAUUAAAAUGUUUCUUUAAGUGAUUUCAUUUUCAAUUAAAAAUUAAAACCACAUUUUUUUUUAAAUAUUAUUAAAACGGUGUUUUAACGAUAUAUUGUUAUGGACCUUAGUAUUUAAUGCAUGCAAUGUAAAGGAUUGUUUGCCCUGAGACCGCAAAUGAUCCUAAACGAAUCAUAGCUAAAAGCAAUUUUGUUUGCCCUUGAGAUCGCAAGUGAUCCUAAACUAACAAUAGACAAGAAAUCCUGACCUUGAAUCUUCUUCUACUCCAGUUUCACACGAUUUGACACGACAUAUACCUGAGCCAUCGAUAAAAUUAUCGCAAAAUAGUAGCUUAUCUCUUAGUUCUCAUAAAAGUAAUUCCGAUAAGGAGUUUUUACCGACACCAGAACAACCAAAACCUCAUUUCGUCACCACAGAAGAUUUUAAUGAUUUGAUUAGAGAUUUUAAUUUGCCAAAAAGUAAAGCAGAGCUUUUAGACUCUCGCUUAAAACAGUAAUAUUACGGAUCAGAGGACUAGGCAUGAAACAUUCUCAACAUUUUUCACAAAAGAAGAUGGACUUUGUUUUAGCAACGACAUAAAAGGUGCAUGAUUUUUGUUACUUCCUGACACAAAGGACUACGAGUGCGUCUUCCAUCAUACGUCGAAUUUGUAAUGUACGAUUGAUGAACGAUUGCCGUUGUAAGCCUUGAAGAACUGCUGGUAGUUUUCCCUGCACCCAUACCAAGUAUAGCUACCUUCCUAUAUGGGAGUAUAUGGGUGGUAUCCAGCUUAAGCUUUCUCCGAAGUUUGCAAAUAUCUGAAAAGGAUAAUAAAAAGAUAAAAGUAUAUUCCAACAAAAGAUUUCAUGUUUAGUAUAUAUGUACAUAUAUAAGGUGUGAUAUUAUCAGGGUGAGUUGAUGCCACUCUACUACCGAGAUUGCCAUUUCACUACAAAAAGUUACUAUAGCGUAUGUGUUGGUAAAAGCUGAAAAACUUUGUAUUUUUAGUGGUGUAUGAGUUAGCUCCGUCUUGUAGGGUACUUUUCGUUUAAUUGACCCUAUGGUUAAUUGGUUUCCCCGUUUAAUAGAACGGUGUUAUCGGGCAAAAAAUAUAGCAUAUGAAAGCCCAUGUAAAUUUUCUCGGAUAAUUGGACUCGGUCAAUUGAUUUUCCCGCUUAGUGGGUUCAUAAUAUAUGUCAUCAAAAAUCAUUUUCCUUUUAAAUUUCCCCGGUUAAUUUCUCCAAAUAAUAUUGUUGAAAAAAUUAAUCUUCUAAUCAACACUGUACAAUUUUUUAAUAAUAAAUUUGAAUAACAAAUAUAUAUAUCUUAAUAUAUAAAAAUCA